Molecule: unclassified non-coding RNA, 200 nt
Filed under: soil metagenome
Description: partial contains internal transcribed spacer 2 and large subunit ribosomal RNA
Source: RNAcentral
GGGGUUUGCAGGUUUCUCUUUUGAAAUUAGCUCCCCUGAAAUAUAUUAGCUGGUUGCCUUGUGUAAACCUGUCUAUUGGUGUGAUAAUUAUCUACGCGUGGACUGUUUGCCGUUUUUAGCACUGCUUCUAACCGUCUGUUCAUUCGGACAAUAUAUGACAAUUUGACCUCAAAUCAGGUAGGACUACCCGCUGAACUUAA